GAAAUGCGAUAAUUAAUGUGAAUUGCAGAAUUCAGUGAAUCAUCGAGUCUUUGAACGCACAUUGCGCCCCAUGGUAUUCCGGGGGGCAUGCCUGUCCGAGCGUCAUUGCUGCCCUCAAGCACGGCUUGUGUGUUGGGCUUCCGUCCCUGGCAACGGGGACGGGCCCAAAAGGCAGUGGCGGCACCAUGUCUGGUCCUCGAGCGUAUGGGGCUUUGUCACCCGCUCCCGUAGGUCCAGCUGGCAGCUAGCCUCGCAACCAAUCUUUUUAACCAGGUUGACCUCGGAUCAGGUAGGGAUACCCGCUGAACUUAAGC
RNAcentral lists this unclassified non-coding RNA (314 nucleotides) under plant metagenome. Its description in RNAcentral is "partial contains 5.8S ribosomal RNA, internal transcribed spacer 2, and large subunit ribosomal RNA". The stretch from base 1 to 105 matches the Rfam family "5.8S ribosomal RNA", at positions 50 to 154 of the family's 154-position model. The record is from RNAcentral.